RNAcentral lists this transfer RNA (82 nucleotides) under Gemmatimonadales bacterium. RNAcentral's name for it is "tRNA-Leu". It matches the Rfam family "tRNA". From Rfam's summary of the family: Transfer RNA (tRNA) molecules are approximately 80 nucleotides in length. Their secondary structure includes four short double-helical elements and three loops (D, anti-codon, and T loops). Lineage: Bacteria; Pseudomonadati; Gemmatimonadota; Gemmatimonadia; Gemmatimonadales. The record is from RNAcentral.
GCGGCCGUGGCGGAAUUGGCAGACGCGCCAGCCUUAGGAGCUGGUGGGGAAACCCGUGGGGGUUCGAGUCCCUCCGGCCGCA